CAGUCGCCACGGUAAUACGAAGGGUGCAAGCGUUACUCGGAAUUACUGGGCGUAAAGCGUGUGUAGGUGGUUGUUUAAGUCUGUCGUGAAAGCCCUGGGCUCAACCUGGGAAUUGCGAUGGAUACUGGGCGACUAGAGUGCGGUAGAGGAUAGUGGAAUUUCCGGUGUAGCAGUGAAAUGCGUAGAGAUCGGAAGGAACAUCUGUGGCGAAGGCGGCCAUCUGGGACAACACUGACGCUGAGGCACGAAAGCGUGGGGAGCAAACAGGAUUAGAUACCCGUGUAGUCCCUGUCUCUUAUAC
Molecule: ribosomal RNA, 301 nt
Filed under: uncultured bacterium
Lineage: Bacteria
Description: partial 16S ribosomal RNA
Rfam family: Bacterial small subunit ribosomal RNA
Source: RNAcentral